CGAAUGGCUCAUUAAAUCAGUUAUCGUUUAUUUGAUAGUACCUUACUACUUGGAUAACCGUGGUAAUUCUAGAGCUAAUACAUGCUAAAAACCCCAACUUCGGGAGGGGUGUAUUUAUUAGAUAAAAAACCAAUGCCCUUCGGGGCUCCUUGGUGAUUCAUGAUAACUUCUCAGAUCGCAUAGCCUUGUGCUGGCGACGGUUCAUUCAAAUUUCUGCCCUAUCAACUUUCGAUGGUAAGGUAGUGGCUUACCAUGGUUUCAACGGGUAACGGGGAAUUAGGGUUCGAUUCCGGAGAGGGAGCCUGAGAAACGGCUACCACAUCCAAGGAAGGCAGCAGGCGCGCAAAUUACCCAAUUCCGAUGCGGAGAGGUAGUGACAAUAAAUACUGAUACAGGGCUCUUUUGGGUCUUGUAAUUGGAAUGAGUACAAUUUAAACCUCUUAACGAGGAACAAUUGGAGGGCAAGUCUGGUGCCAGCAGCCGCGGUAAUUCCAGCUCCAAUAGCGUAUAUUAAAGUUGUUGCAGUUAAAAAGCUCGUAGUUGAACCUUUGGCCUGGCUGGCAGGUCCGCCUCACCGCGUGCACUUGUCCGGCCGGGCCUUUUCUUCUGGAGAACCGCAUGCCCUUCACUGGGUGUGUUGGGGACCAGGACUUUUACUUUGAAAAAAUUAGAGUGUUCAAAGCAGGCCUUUGCUCGAAUACGUUAGCAUGGAAUAAUAGAAUAGGACGUGCGGUCCUAUUUUGUUGGUUUCUAGGACCGCCGUAAUGAUUAAUAGGGACAGUCGGGGGCAUCAGUAUUCAAUUGUCAGAGGUGAAAUUCUUGGAUUUAUUGAAGACUAACUACUGCGAAAGCAUUUGCCAAGGAUGUUUUCAUUAAUCAGUGAACGAAAGUUAGGGGAUCGAAGACGAUCAGAUACCGUCGUAGUCUUAACCAUAAACUAUGCCGACUAGGGAUCGGGCGGUGUUUCUAUUGUGACCCGCUCGGCACCUUACGAGA
RNAcentral lists this ribosomal RNA (996 nucleotides) under Kalmusia sarothamni. RNAcentral describes it as "SSU rRNA". It matches the Rfam family "Eukaryotic small subunit ribosomal RNA", at positions 90 to 1095 of the family's 1831-position model. Lineage: Eukaryota; Fungi; Ascomycota; Dothideomycetes; Pleosporales; Didymosphaeriaceae. The record is from RNAcentral.